CAGUCGCCGCGGUAAUACAGAGGGUGCGAGCGUUAAUCGGAUUUACUGGGCGUAAAGCGCACGUAGGCGGCUUGGUAAGUUAGAGGUGAAAGCCUGGAGCUCAACUCCAGAAUUGCCUUUAAGACUGCCGAGCUAGCAGGUGAGAGAGGUAAGUGGAAUUCCGAGUGUAGAGGUGAAAUUCGUAGAUAUUCGGAAGAACACCAGUGGCGAAGGCGGCUUACUGGCUCAUACUGGACGCUGAGGUGCGAAAGCGUGGGGAGCAAACAGGAUUAGAUACCCCGGUAGUCCCUGUCUCUUAUAA
RNAcentral lists this ribosomal RNA (301 nucleotides) under uncultured bacterium. RNAcentral describes it as "partial 16S ribosomal RNA". It matches the Rfam family "Bacterial small subunit ribosomal RNA", at positions 509 to 809 of the family's 1533-position model. The record is from RNAcentral.